This 502-nucleotide ribosomal RNA is filed under the name uncultured bacterium. RNAcentral's name for it is "bacterial SSU rRNA". It matches the Rfam family "Bacterial small subunit ribosomal RNA", at positions 903 to 1397 of the family's 1533-position model. The record is from RNAcentral.
AAAGGAAUAGACGGGGGCUCACACAAGCGGUGGAGGAUGUGGCUUAAUUCGAGGCUACGCGAAGAACCUUAUCCCAGGCUUGACAUGCUGGAUGCUACUCCUGAAAGGGAAGUUAGUUGCCUCCGGGUGAAACAAGCACAGGUGCUGCAUGGCUGUCGUCAGCUCGUGUCGUGAGAUGUCAGGUUAAGUCCUUUAACGAGCGAAACCCCUGUCACUAGUUGCCAGCGAGUAAUGUCGGGGACUCUAGUGAGACUGCCUUCUGUUAAAGAGGAGGAAGGUGGGGAUGACGUCAAGUCCUCAUGGCCUUUAUGCCUGGGGCUGCACACGUCCUACAAUGGCGUACACAAAGGGAAGCAAAAUCGCGAGAUCAAGCAAAUCCCCAAAAAUACGCCCCAGUUCGGAUUGUAGUCUGCAACUCGACUACAUGAAGUCGGAAUCGCUAGUAAUCGCGGGUCAGCAUACCGCGGUGAAUAUGUUCCUGAGCCUUGUACACACCGCCCGU